This 403-nucleotide long non-coding RNA is filed under the name Homo sapiens (human). RNAcentral's name for it is "HSALNT0239002". Lineage: Eukaryota; Metazoa; Chordata; Mammalia; Primates; Hominidae. The record is from RNAcentral.
CUUGAACACAAACUGACCAGGUUUCCAAUGAAAAGACAGGUGGCUCCACUCCCAGUGCAUAUUUUCAGUUGUGUUGUAUGGAUCCUAUGACCACCCCCGAGAAUUUGGUGAGAUAUAGGGAAAGUCAUGGUAGAAUUUGAGUGGGGGCAUGUUCCUCUCCACUGCCACGUUACCCCACGGAAGCCCCAAGUGCAAGAUCUGACGCCGACGGGAGCAAGGCUGACCACUCUGCUCGGUGCCCACAAGUCGACCCAUUAGCCGCCAGUCACGGAUCUCAAACAGGCUCAUCUAGAGUUCGAGAAAAGUCAUACUGAUAAGGAAACUCCACCGAGACUGAGCCGAAAGAGAGGAGCCAAACACGGUUCCGGAGGGUCUGCAGCGCAGGGAAGGGGUUCCGGUGGAG